This 405-nucleotide ribosomal RNA is filed under the name uncultured bacterium. RNAcentral describes it as "partial 16S ribosomal RNA". It matches the Rfam family "Bacterial small subunit ribosomal RNA", at positions 30 to 526 of the family's 1533-position model. The record is from RNAcentral.
AUCGAACGCUAGCGGGAUGCUUUACACAUGCAAGUCGAACGAGUGGCGGACGGGUGAGUAAUAUAUCGGAACGUGCCCAGUAGCGGGGGCUAACUACUCGAAAGAGUGGCUAAUACCGCAUACUAUGGGAGCGGCCGAUAUCGGAUUAGAUAGUUGGUGGGGGAAAGGCUCACCAAGGCAACGAUCCGUAGCGGGUAUGAGAGGACGACCAGCGACACGGGGACUGAGAAACGGCCCAGACUCCUACGGGAGGCAGCAGUGGGGAAUUUUGGGCAAUGGGGGAAACCCUGAUCCAGCCAUCCCGCGUGUGUGAGAAGGCCUGCGGGUUGUAAAGUACUUUUGGCAGAGAAGCGGUAUCUGCAGAAUAAGCACCGGCUAACUACGUGCCAGCAGCCGCGGUAAUAC